RNAcentral lists this ribosomal RNA (1458 nucleotides) under Klebsiella pneumoniae. RNAcentral describes it as "partial 23S ribosomal RNA". It matches the Rfam family "Bacterial large subunit ribosomal RNA", at positions 1 to 1506 of the family's 2925-position model. Lineage: Bacteria; Pseudomonadati; Pseudomonadota; Gammaproteobacteria; Enterobacterales; Enterobacteriaceae. The record is from RNAcentral.
GGUUAAGCGACUAAGCGUACACGGUGGAUGCCCUGGCAGUCAGAGGCGAUGAAGGACGUGCUAAUCUGCGAAAAGCGUCGGUAAGGUGAUAUGAACCGUUAUAACCGGCGAUGUCCGAAUGGGGAAACCCAGUGCAAUUCGUUGCACUAUCGUUAACUGAAUACAUAGGUUAACGAGGCGAACCGGGGGAACUGAAACAUCUAAGUACCCCGAGGAAAAGAAAUCAACCGAGAUUCCCCCAGUAGCGGCGAGCGAACGGGGAGCAGCCCAGAGUCUGAAUCAGCUUGUGUGUUAGUGGAACGGUCUGGAAAGUCCGACGGUACAGGGUGAUAGUCCCGUACACCAAAAUGCACAGGCUGUGAACUCGAAGAGUAGGGCGGGACACGUGGUAUCCUGUCUGAAUAUGGGGGGACCAUCCUCCAAGGCUAAAUACUCCUGACUGACCGAUAGUGAACCAGUACCGUGAGGGAAAGGCGAAAAGAACCCCGGCGAGGGGAGUGAAAAAGAACCUGAAACCGUGUACGUACAAGCAGUGGGAGCACCUUCGGGUGUGACUGCGUACCUUUUGUAUAAUGGGUCAGCGACUUAUAUUCUGUAGCAAGGUUAACCGUAUAGGGGAGCCGCAGGGAAACCGAGUCUUAACUGGGCGUUAAGUUGCAGGGUAUAGACCCGAAACCCGGUGAUCUAGCCAUGGGCAGGUUGAAGGUUGGGUAACACUAACUGGAGGACCGAACCGACUAAUGUUGAAAAAUUAGCGGAUGACUUGUGGCUGGGGGUGAAAGGCCAAUCAAACCGGGAGAUAGCUGGUUCUCCCCGAAAGCUAUUUAGGUAGCGCCUCGUGAACUCAUCUUCGGGGGUAGAGCACUGUUUCGGCUAGGGGGUCAUCCCGACUUACCAACCCGAUGCAAACUACGAAUACCGAAGAAUGUUAUCACGGGAGACACACGGCGGGUGCUAACGUCCGUCGUGAAGAGGGAAACAACCCAGACCGCCAGCUAAGGUCCCAAAGUCAUGGUUAAGUGGGAAACGAUGUGGGAAGGCACAGACAGCCAGGAUGUUGGCUUAGAAGCAGCCAUCAUUUAAAGAAAGCGUAAUAGCUCACUGGUCGAGUCGGCCUGCGCGGAAGAUGUAACGGGGCUAAACCAUGCACCGAAGCUGCGGCAGCGACACUAUGUGUUGUUGGGUAGGGGAGCGUUCUGUAAGCCUGCGAAGGUGUGCUGUGAGGCAUGCUGGAGGUAUCAGAAGUGCGAAUGCUGACAUAAGUAACGAUAAAGCGGGUGAAAAGCCCGCUCGCCGGAAGACCAAGGGUUCCUGUCCAACGUUAAUCGGGGCAGGGUGAGUCGACCCCUAAGGCGAGGCCGAAAGGCGUAGUCGAUGGGAAACAGGUUAAUAUUCCUGUACUUGGUGUUACUGCGAAGGGGGGACGGAGAAGGCUAUGUUAGCCGGGCGACGGUUGUC